GGAUCCCUAACCCACUGUGCAGACCAGGGAUUGACCCUGCUUCCCAGGGCUCCCAAGAUGCCACUGACCCCAAUGCGCCACAGUGAGAACUCCCACAAUGCCACAGUUGAUAGAUAGAUGGUAGCGAUUCCCGGAUAGAUACAUUCAAUUGAGGAAUGUUUUUCUUUGCAUAUUAUACGUAUGUCACUAAUUGAGUGGCUACAUAUGUGUGUGUGUGUGUGUGUGUGUGUCCCUUCUCCCCACCGUCCUGUGUCCCUUUGCCCACAGAUAGGACCUCAGCUAGUUGCAGUUUGCUGCGUGGUAGAGUGACUCCACUAAUCGUUCCUGGAGCAUCAGUGGUCCUGCCCAGUUCGGGUGUCGUGGCUUUUUGUUAACUUGUGUGCAUGGAAAAGGGGACCCUUGAGGAUCCCCCAGGUCCCAGACGUAGCCCUCCCUGCUCUUGGCUGUAGAGGCCUCCCAGUCAGGCAGCCACUACCUCUCCUCUUUCGUUGCCUGUGGUCUGAGGAGCACGAGAAGCCCAAACAGCCGAGUGGAGGUUUUAGCUUCAAAGGCGAUGAAAACUGUGUGGCUUUCCUUCCCCUGAGAACUCAGGUCUCCACACCGGCAGAGGCCAGCGCUGCAGGGACGUGAAGCGAAAUUUUCCUGAGUGGGUGCGGUAGCCUGAGUCAUGACCAGCCAAAGACGCCAGGUCCGCAUCUCUGGAAUUUGGAAAAUGUCACCUUAAAAGGAAAAAGGAUUUUUGCAGACGUGAUUAGGUGAAUGACCUUGACAUGGGGAGAUUCUCCUGGGCGACCGGGGCCCUAAACCCCAUUGCCAGUGUCCCUUUAAGAAACAGGCAGGAGGAGAGCUCACACACGGAAGAGGAGGAGGAACAGUGAAGACAGAAGCAGAGGUUGGAGUAAUGGGGCCGAAGGAACGCCAACGGCCACCCAGCUGGAGGAGUCACGGCACAGGUUCCUCCCUAGAGUUUUAGGAGGAGUGCAGCCCUGCUGGUACCUCGAUUUAGGCUCAGUGAGGCUGAUGCGGAACUCCUGGCCUCCAGAACUCUAGGAGAAUAAAUUCUGUUCAGUCAUCAAGUAUGUAGCAAUUUGUUGUGGCAACCACAGUGAACUAAUACUGGCGGCUAGGGAGAUGCCACGCCGCCUACCUUCCUUUGAUUCCUGGCGCCUUAAAUGCCGGCUGUCAAUGAGGAUGCGGCGUUCCCAUUGUGUCUCAGCGGAAAUGAAUCUGAUUAGUAUCCACGAGGACACGGGUUCGAUCCCUGGCCUCACUCAGUGGGUUAAGGAUCCAGCAUUGCUGUGAGCUGUGCAAAGGAGCGACUGCUGUAAGAUGGGGCUUUAGAAAGAGGCAGGAGUCAAGGUUUAUGAGAUCCAUGAAUCUUUCCAAAGAGGCAGGGCUUACCAGUGAGGACAAUGGGGAGUCAGUCCAAGAUUUAGGAGUUCCCUGGUGGUUCGGUGGGUUGGGGAUCUGGUGAAGUCACUGCCGUAGCUCUGGUUGCUGCUAUGGCAGGGCUUUGACCCCUGGCCUGGGAAUUUCUGCAUGCAGCCAGCACAGCUGGGGAAAAAAAAUCUUGACCCGGGAUCAAAUCAGGGUAGACUUGCCCUUUGGAAUAUUUUCUUUGGAGGAUGGAAGACGGAUUUGAGGGAGCAAGCCUGGCCGCAGGGAGACCAGCUAGGAGAUGCUGCAGUAACCUGAGCAGGAGAUGCUGGUAACCUAGACCCAUCCCACGGCGUUUCACUAAUUGAGCAAAUGCGUGUGAAGCGCCUGCUGUAUGUCAGAGCCUGGCUCAGCACAACGUACAGGAGGAUCAGAUGCAGGAGACCCAGUUAUGGCCCUGAGGUCAUCCAGCCCCUGGGGAAAACAGAUGCACCAUUAUCCAAAGCACGCGCCACUCUUUAGCUGCUAAGUUUGUCUGACUCAGCAAGGAGGGUUUGCAGGUGGCUACGGGAGUCCCCAAACUGUCAACAAAUAUGGCCUUGAUAGCAGGUAUGAUUUUAGCUUGGUGUGUCACUUAUCUAUUGCCACGUGACAGCUCACCCGACACCUUAGCAGCGUAAAACAACAGCGGUUUUACUUUGUCUUAAUUCUGCGGGUCAGCAGUUUGGGCUGCUCUCAAAUUCUGAGCGGUUCUGCUGCUCUCACCUGGAAUCACUGAUGUGGUUGCACUCCUCCGGCCUCUUGGCUGGGACUGGUUCUGCUGAGGUGACCUCACCCACGUGUCGGGUUUGGUGCUGGCUGUCAUGCAUGGGCAGGAUGGCCCGUCUCUGCUCUGUGGGGCUUUUCACCCUCCAGAAGGUUUGACUGGGCUUCUUCACAUGGCAAGGGGGCCAGAGCAGACAUGAUGUGGCCUCUUGAGGCCCUGGCUCGGAAGCUGUACCGAGCAGCCUGGGGCUGCCAUGCAGCAAGGGCUCAGCUCACCGGGAUCUGGGGGGCUCGGCUUCUGUUAUAGUUCUUACAGUCUUGCAAACCAAAGACAACCAUGCAGCGUCUUUCCCAACAUUAGCACUUGUCUCUCCUCUGCCGUCAUCCCAGCCCCUGCACAAGGC
RNAcentral lists this long non-coding RNA (2546 nucleotides) under Sus scrofa (pig). RNAcentral's name for it is "lncRNA (ENSSSCG00035018812.1)". The record is from RNAcentral. Lineage: Eukaryota; Metazoa; Chordata; Mammalia; Artiodactyla; Suidae.